Lathyrus oleraceus (garden pea) is the source of this 1033-nucleotide long non-coding RNA. RefSeq lists it as uncharacterized. The transcript is spliced from 4 exons. NCBI's taxonomy places the organism in Eukaryota, Viridiplantae, Streptophyta, Magnoliopsida, Fabales, Fabaceae. The record is from RefSeq and is a predicted model, not a curated record.
AUUGGAUCCCUGAUACCCCUGAUAGCAUUCCUGCAAACGCGUCACACCGUGUCGGCGUUGGUGCUUUUGUUGUCAAUAACAAGAGAGAGGUGCUUGUGGUUCAGGAAACCAGUGGUAGAUUUGGAGGCACAGGUGUAUGGAAGAUGCCUACAGGAGCUGUGAAUGAAGUAUACGUCGAAAUGAUUAUUGAUCAAAUUAUGAAAAUGGAAAUUCAAUCUUUUGAGUUUUGACAUGUUUUAAUUCUAUUUGCAGGGUGAAGAUAUUUGUGAUGCUGUAAUUAGAGAAGUGAAGGAAGAGACAGGGGUUGAAACAAAGGCACAUAUGGUACUUGUUGCAUUCUCAAGUUCGUUAAACAGUCAGGACAGCUGCUCCUUUGCAGGAACUGGCAUCCAAACAUGUGAUGGCAGCAAUGGUGGAGAUAAUUUGUCAGCAUCAAGCCUCUGAAGCAUCUGACAUACCUUAUAAUCCCAAAGCUGUUAGAAAACACUGAUGACUAAUACUAGGUCACAAGGCAUGGAAAAUGGUGCUGCUGUCACUUCCAACUUGACAGGAACACAGCAGGAUGUAGAUCUAUCACACUUCCUUCUAAUUGAGAAGAGUUCCCGGCAUGCUGAAUUGCAAUAUAUUCACUUACUUGCUGCUGGCUCAUGAGUCAUGACUUGGUUUCAGGAUGGGAUAUGGCUACUUACAUUGAGGCAAUUGAUUCCCAAUUCUUCUUGCUAAAAGGUAGCAUUUUGGACUUGUUAGUGAGUUCAAUCGAAGUUUUGACCUGAAGUUUGCAUUCUGAGUCUGAUUCUCCUCCCUGUAACCUGUGGUUUAAGGUUCAACCUGAAGUCAUCGUAGUAAAUUCAAUCAAAGAUUUGAGCUGAAGUUAUCCUAUUAAGAAUUGCUUUGAAUCUCUAUUGUUUAUGAUACAUUCUAUAAUUAGGCUAUUAGGCUGUAUUUUAGUGAUUUGGUUUUGAUUAACUUAUUUAGAUUAUUGUAAAAUAAUUUUUUUAAUAGAAAUUUGUGUAACAAUUGUCAUAGAGUUUAA